Molecule: long non-coding RNA, 426 nt
Organism: Homo sapiens (human)
Lineage: Eukaryota; Metazoa; Chordata; Mammalia; Primates; Hominidae
Source: Ensembl
CAGUGGCGGAUACAGGCCCCACACAUCGCAGCAGUAAACAGGUACUUUGUAUUCUCAAAUUGCACCUGCUUACCCUGGCCCCCUCAAAAUGGAAGAGUGAUGACUAUUUGUCUUCGUAGCACUGUGGGGACACAGAGCCUUAAAUGGAAGAGUGUCAAAAGCAACAUUCCAUAAAGGGCUGUCACUUCCAAUUUUCAAGCAAGGUUGGAAACCAACCAUGAUGUAUGAAACACUGUUGGCCAAAGUGCACAAUUAGUAAUACAAAAUGAAUAAUAUAAACUAUUGUAAAUAUGUGUGGACAUCGUGGCAAUUUGGACAUCAAAAAACACUGCCAAAUUCAGAAAGAGGAAGCUGUAAACUCAUGGCUGUUAGGAAGCUUAACUUCUGUGUACUAGAACCUAUCAAAAUUAAAUUUCUCCAUGUCAA